CGUAUCACCCAAGACAACUUUACGGAGUUGACGAUUGACGGAGCGAAGCGACGUCAAAGCGUUCAUUAAAGUCGAGUUGGCUUAGGGAUACGUUCGUUGGGUAGGGGAGCGUUCUGUAAGCCUGUGAAGGUGUGUCGUGAGGCAUGCUGGAGGUAUCAGAAGUGCGAAUGCUGACAUAAGUAACGAUAAAGCGGGUGAAAAGCCCGCUCGCCGGAAGACCAAGGGUUCCUGUCCAACGUUAAUCGGGGCAGGGUGAGUCGACCCCUAAGGCGAGGCCGAAAGGCGUAGUCGAUGGGAAACGGGUUAAUAUUCCCGUACUUGGUGUUACUGCGAAGGGGGGACGGAGAAGGCUAUGUUGGCCGGGCGACGGUUGUCCCGGUUUAAGCGUGUAGGUGUGUGUUCCAGGUAAAUCCGGUUCACUUUAACACUGAGGCGUGACGACGAGGCACUACGGUGCUGAAGCAACAAAUGCCCUGCUUCCAGGAAAAGCCUCUAAGCAUCAGGUAACACGAAAUCGUACCCCAAACCGACACAGGUGGUCAGGUAGAGAAUACCAAGGCGCUUGAGAGAACUCGGGUGAAGGAACUAGGCAAAAUGGUGCCGUAACUUCGGGAGAAGGCACGCUGACACGUAGGUGAAGUGAUUUACUCAUGGAGCUGAAGUCAGUCGAAGAUACCAGCUGGCUGCAACUGUUUAUUAAAAACACAGCACUGUGCAAACACGAAAGUGGACGUAUACGGUGUGACGCCUGCCCGGUGCCGGAAGGUUAAUUGAUGGGGUCAGCGUAAGCGAAGCUCCUGAUCGAAGCCCCGGUAAACGGCGGCCGUAACUAUAACGGUCCUAAGGUAGCGAAAUUCCUUGUCGGGUAAGUUCCGACCUGCACGAAUGGCGUAAUGAUGGCCAGGCUGUCUCCACCCGAGACUCAGUGAAAUUGAACUCGCUGUGAAGAUGCAGUGUACCCGCGGCAAGACGGAAAGACCCCGUGAACCUUUACUAUAGCUUGACACUGAACAUUGAGCCUUGAUGUGUAGGAUAGGUGGGAGGCUUUGAAGUGUGGACGCCAGUCUGCAUGGAGCCGACCUUGAAAUACCACCCUUUAAUGUUUGAUGUUCU
This 1113-nucleotide ribosomal RNA is filed under the name Salmonella enterica subsp. enterica serovar Typhimurium. RNAcentral describes it as "partial 23S ribosomal RNA". It matches the Rfam family "Bacterial large subunit ribosomal RNA", at positions 1154 to 2223 of the family's 2925-position model. The record is from RNAcentral. Lineage: Bacteria; Pseudomonadati; Pseudomonadota; Gammaproteobacteria; Enterobacterales; Enterobacteriaceae.